GCGUGAGUGAAGAAGGCCCUAGGGUUGUAAAGCUCUUUCAGCAGGGAAGAUGAUGACGGUACCUGCAGAAGAAGCCCCGGCUAACUCCGUGCCAGCAGCCGCGGUAAUACGGAGGGGGCUAGCGUUGCUCGGAAUUACUGGGCGUAAAGGGCGCGUAGGCGGAUUAUCCAGUCAGGCGUGAAAGCCCCGGGCUCAACCUGGGAAUUGCGCUUGAUACUGAUAGUCUUGAGUUCUGGAGAGGGUGGUGGAAUUCCCAGUGUAGAGGUGAAAUUCGU
This 275-nucleotide ribosomal RNA is filed under the name uncultured bacterium. RNAcentral's name for it is "partial 16S ribosomal RNA". It matches the Rfam family "Bacterial small subunit ribosomal RNA", at positions 399 to 691 of the family's 1533-position model. The record is from RNAcentral.